RNAcentral lists this non-coding RNA (29 nucleotides) under Rattus norvegicus (Norway rat). The record is from RNAcentral. Lineage: Eukaryota; Metazoa; Chordata; Mammalia; Rodentia; Muridae.
AGCCUAAGGGAAAAAAGUUUCAGGCAGGC